Molecule: ribosomal RNA, 2034 nt
Filed under: Escherichia coli
Lineage: Bacteria; Pseudomonadati; Pseudomonadota; Gammaproteobacteria; Enterobacterales; Enterobacteriaceae
Description: partial 23S ribosomal RNA
Rfam family: Bacterial large subunit ribosomal RNA
Source: RNAcentral
GAGCACUGUUUCGGCAAGGGGGUCAUCCCGACUUACCAACCCGAUGCAAACUGCGAAUACCGGAGAAUGUUAUCACGGGAGACACACGGCGGGUGCUAACGUCCGUCGUGAAGAGGGAAACAACCCAGACCGCCAGCUAAGGUCCCAAAGUCAUGGUUAAGUGGGAAACGAUGUGGGAAGGCCCAGACAGCCAGGAUGUUGGCUUAGAAGCAGCCAUCAUUUAAAGAAAGCGUAAUAGCUCACUGGUCGAGUCGGCCUGCGCGGAAGAUGUAACGGGGCUAAACCAUGCACCGAAGCUGCGGCAGCGACGCUGAUGCGUUGUUGGGUAGGGGAGCGUUCUGUAAGCCUGCGAAGGUGUGCUGUGAGGCAUGCUGGAGGUAUCAGAAGUGCGAAUGCUGACAUAAGUAACGAUAAAGCGGGUGAAAAGCCCGCUCGCCGGAAGACCAAGGGUUCCUGUCCAACGUUAAUCGGGGCAGGGUGAGUCGACCCCUAAGGCGAGGCCGAAAGGCGUAGUCGAUGGGAAACAGGUUAAUAUUCCUGUACUUGGUGUUACUGCGAAGGGGGGACGGAGAAGGCUAUGUUGGCCGGGCGACGGUUGUCCCGGUUUAAGCGUGUAGGCUGGUUUUCCAGGCAAAUCCGGAAAAUCAAGGCUGAGGCGUGAUGACGAGGCACUACGGUGCUGAAGCAACAAAUGCCCUGCUUCCAGGAAAAGCCUCUAAGCAUCAGGUAACAUCAAAUCGUACCCCAAACCGACACAGGUGGUCAGGUAGAGAAUACCAAGGCGCUUGAGAGAACUCGGGUGAAGGAACUAGGCAAAAUGGUGCCGUAACUUCGGGAGAAGGCACGCUGAUAUGUAGGUGAAGUCCCUCGCGGAUGGAGCUGAAAUCAGUCGAAGAUACCAGCUGGCUGCAACUGUUUAUUAAAAACACAGCACUGUGCAAACACGAAAGUGGACGUAUACGGUGUGACGCCUGCCCGGUGCCGGAAGGUUAAUUGAUGGGGUCAGCGCAAGCGAAGCUCUUGAUCGAAGCCCCGGUAAACGGCGGCCGUAACUAUAACGGUCCUAAGGUAGCGAAAUUCCUUGUCGGGUAAGUUCCGACCUGCACGAAUGGCGUAAUGAUGGCCAGGCUGUCUCCACCCGAGACUCAGUGAAAUUGAACUCGCUGUGAAGAUGCAGUGUACCCGCGGCAAGACGGAAAGACCCCGUGAACCUUUACUAUAGCUUGACACUGAACAUUGAGCCUUGAUGUGUAGGAUAGGUGGGAGGCUUUGAAGUGUGGACGCCAGUCUGCAUGGAGCCGGCCUUGAAAUACCACCCUUUAAUGUUUGAUGUUCUAACGUUGACCCGUGAUCCGGGUUGCGGACAGUGUCUGGUGGGUAGUUUGACUGGGGCGGUCUCCUCCUAAAGAGUAACGGAGGAGCACGAAGGUUGGCUAAUCCUGGUCGGACAUCAGGAGGUUAGUGCAAUGGCAUAAGCCAGCUUGACUGCGAGCGUGACGGCGCGAGCAGGUGCGAAAGCAGGUCAUAGUGAUCCGGUGGUUCUGAAUGGAAGGGCCAUCGCUCAACGGAUAAAAGGUACUCCGGGGAUAACAGGCUGAUACCGCCCAAGAGUUCAUAUCGACGGCGGUGUUUGGCACCUCGAUGUCGGCUCAUCACAUCCUGGGGCUGAAGUAGGUCCCAAGGGUAUGGCUGUUCGCCAUUUAAAGUGGUACGCGAGCUGGGUUUAGAACGUCGUGAGACAGUUCGGUCCCUAUCUGCCGUGGGCGCUGGAGAACUGAGGGGGGCUGCUCCUAGUACGAGAGGACCGGAGUGGACGCAUCACUGGUGUUCGGGUUGUCAUGCCAAUGGCACUGCCCGGUAGCUAAAUGCGGAAGAGAUAAGUGCUGAAAGCAUCUAAGCACGAAACUUGCCCCGAGAUGAGUUCUCCCUGACUCCUUGAGAGUCCUGAAGGAACGUUGAAGACGACGACGUUGAUAGGCCGGGUGUGUAAGCGCAGCGAUGCGUUGAGCUAACCGGUACUAAUGAACCGUGAGG